RNAcentral lists this ribosomal RNA (744 nucleotides) under Salmonella enterica subsp. enterica serovar Manhattan. Its description in RNAcentral is "partial 23S ribosomal RNA". It matches the Rfam family "Bacterial large subunit ribosomal RNA", at positions 474 to 1217 of the family's 2925-position model. Lineage: Bacteria; Pseudomonadati; Pseudomonadota; Gammaproteobacteria; Enterobacterales; Enterobacteriaceae. The record is from RNAcentral.
UCCUGACUGACCGAUAGUGAACCAGUACCGUGAGGGAAAGGCGAAAAGAACCCCGGCGAGGGGAGUGAAAAAGAACCUGAAACCGUGUACGUACAAGCAGUGGGAGCACAGGUUUACCUGUGUGACUGCGUACCUUUUGUAUAAUGGGUCAGCGACUUAUAUUCUGUAGCAAGGUUAACCGCAUAGGGGAGCCGGAGGGAAACCGAGUCUUAAUUGGGCGUUAAGUUGCAGGGUAUAGACCCGAAACCCGGUGAUCUAGCCAUGGGCAGGUUGAAGGUUGGGUAACACUAACUGGAGGACCGAACCGACUAAUGUUGAAAAAUUAGCGGAUGACCUGUGGCUGGGGGUGAAAGGCCAAUCAAACCGGGAGAUAGCUGGUUCUCCCCGAAAGCUAUUUAGGUAGCGCCUCGUGAAUUCAUCUCCGGGGGUAGAGCACUGUUUCGGCUAGGGGGCCAUCCCGGCUUACCAACCCGAUGCAAACUGCGAAUACCGGAGAAUGUUAUCACGGGAGACACACGGCGGGUGCUAACGUCCGUCGUGAAGAGGGAAACAACCCAGACCGCCAGCUAAGGUCCCAAAGUCAUGGUUAAGUGGGAAACGAUGUGGGAAGGCCCAGACAGCCAGGAUGUUGGCUUAGAAGCAGCCAUCAUUUAAAGAAAGCGUAAUAGCUCACUGGUCGAGUCGGCCUGCGCGGAAGAUGUAACGGGGCUAAACCAUGCACCGAAGCUGCGGCAGCGAACGUAU